AGAGUUUGAUCCUGGCUCAGGAUGAACGCUGGCGGCGUGCCUAACACAUGCAAGUCGAGCGAAGCGCGCCCCGGAAUCCUUCGGGAGGAAGGGUCGCGACUGAGCGGCGGACGGGUGAGUAACGCGUGGGCAACCUGCCCCAUACAGGGGGACAACGGCCGGAAACGGCCGCUAAUACCGCAUGAUUCCUCUUGGCCGCAUGGCCGGGAGGGGAAAGCCGAGACGGUAUGGGAUGGACCCGCGUCUGAUUAGCUGGUUGGCGAGGUAACGGCUCACCAAGGCGACGAUCAGUAGCCGGCCUGAGAGGGCGACCGGCCACAUUGGGACUGAGACACGGCCCAAACUCCUACGGGAGGCAGCAGUGGGGAAUAUUGCACAAUGGGGGAAACCCUGAUGCAGCGACGCCGCGUGAAGGACGAAGUAUUUCGAUACGUAAACUUCUAUCAGCAGGGAAGAAAAUGACGGUACCUGACCAAGAAGCCCCGGCUAACUACGUG
RNAcentral lists this ribosomal RNA (497 nucleotides) under uncultured Robinsoniella sp. RNAcentral's name for it is "bacterial SSU rRNA". It matches the Rfam family "Bacterial small subunit ribosomal RNA", at positions 8 to 507 of the family's 1533-position model. The record is from RNAcentral. Lineage: Bacteria; Bacillati; Bacillota; Clostridia; Lachnospirales; Lachnospiraceae.